This is a long non-coding RNA of Prionailurus viverrinus (fishing cat), 446 nucleotides long. RefSeq lists it as uncharacterized. The transcript is spliced from 2 exons. The record is from RefSeq and is a predicted model, not a curated record. Lineage: Eukaryota; Metazoa; Chordata; Mammalia; Carnivora; Felidae.
GGUGAGCCUGAGAGCAAAGUUCUUCAUGAGCAGAGCACGGGGAGAAUGCGGGAACGUUCCAUCCGCCACAGCGCACACGAUACUGCUGAGAGACAACGGUGGUUCUCGAGUUACCGUAAAGAUGUGAGAGCUUAAUAAAGGAAGCCGGAUAGGCUUCACUCAGCAAGCAAGCCGGUGGGGGAGACAGAGAAGGUGACAUCGGAGUCCUAAUCUUCCUGCCCAGCGCCUGGGCCAUCUGAAUAAGAGAUGCUGGGAAAUCAGGAAACCUGACUUUAAGUCCUGGCUCUGGUUAAGCACUGAAUUACCGUCCAUCAGCACUGUGGUCCAUCAGCCGGGUUCAGGAUCGCUGCUGACGGCUGGACGCUCGCCUCCUCCCUGCCCUUCUCCGUGAUGCGCACACCCCCCCUCAAAAUGACAUGCCGUGGUGCGCACGUGCAGCAAACAAA